RNAcentral lists this ribosomal RNA (511 nucleotides) under uncultured Flavobacterium sp. Its description in RNAcentral is "bacterial SSU rRNA". It matches the Rfam family "Bacterial small subunit ribosomal RNA", at positions 9 to 512 of the family's 1533-position model. RNAcentral also lists the same sequence under 1 other name. The record is from RNAcentral. Lineage: Bacteria; Pseudomonadati; Bacteroidota; Flavobacteriia; Flavobacteriales; Flavobacteriaceae.
GAGUUUGAUCUUGGCUCAGGAUGAACGCUAGCGGCAGGCCUAACACAUGCAAGUCGAGGGGCAGCAUAAAGUAAACUUGUUUACUUGGUGGCGACCGGCGCACGGGUGCGUAACGCGUAUGCAACCUACCUUACACAUGGGGAUAGCCCGGAGAAAUUCGGAUUAAUACCCUAUAGUAUCAUUGGAUGGCAUCAUUUGAUGAUUAAAGCUAUGGCGGUGUAAGAUGGGCAUGCGUCCUAUUAGCUAGAUGGUGAGGUAACGGCUCACCAUGGCAACGAUAGGUAGGGGGCCUGAGAGGGUGGUCCCCCACACUGGUACUGAGACACGGACCAGACUCCUACGGGAGGCAGCAGUGAGGAAUAUUGGUCAAUGGGCGCAAGCCUGAACCAGCCAUGCCGCGUGAAGGAUGAAGGUUCUAUGGAUUGUAAACUUCUUUUAUUUGGGAAUAAACCUCUUACGUGUAGGAGCUGAAGGUACCAAAUGAAUAAGCACCGGCUAACUCCGUGCCAGC